GCUUACGGCCAUACCACUCUGACAAAGCCCGAUCUCAUCUGACCUCGGAAGCAAAGCAAAGUUGGGCCUGGUUAGUACUUGCUUGGGAGACUGAAUGGGGAUACUAGGUGCUGUAAGCU
Molecule: ribosomal RNA, 119 nt
Organism: Ictalurus punctatus (channel catfish)
Lineage: Eukaryota; Metazoa; Chordata; Actinopteri; Siluriformes; Ictaluridae
Source: Ensembl